UACGUAGGCAGCAAGCGUUGUUCGGAAUUACUGGGCGUAAAGAGUGUGUAGGCGGUGCUCUAAGUUCGGUGUGAAAUCUCCUGGCUCAACUGGGAGGGUGCGCCGGAAACUGGGGUGCUGGAGCGCGGGAGAGGAAAGCGGAAUUCCUGGUGUAGCGGUGAAAUGCGUAGAUAUCAGGAAGAACACCUAUGGCGAAGGCAGCUCUCUGGGACGGUACUGACGCUGAGACGCGAAAGCGUGGGGAGCGAACAGG
This 253-nucleotide ribosomal RNA is filed under the name uncultured bacterium. RNAcentral's name for it is "partial 16S ribosomal RNA". It matches the Rfam family "Bacterial small subunit ribosomal RNA", at positions 524 to 776 of the family's 1533-position model. The record is from RNAcentral.